GGAUUCCCCUAGUAACGGCGAGUGAAGCGGGAAGAGCUCAAAUUUGAAAUCUGGCGGUCUAAGGCCGUCCGAGUUGUAAUCUAGAGAGGUGUUUUCCGUGCCGGACCGUGUACAAGUCCCUUGGAACNGGGCGUCAUAGAGGGUGAGAAUCCCGUCCAUGACACGGACUCCCGGUGCUCUGUGAUACACCUUCAAAGAGUCGAGUUGUUUGGGAAUGCAGCUCAAAAUGGGUGGUAAAUUCCAUCUAAAGCUAAAUACAGGCGAGAGACCGAUAGCGAACAAGUACCGUGAGGGAAAGAUGAAAAGAACUUUGGAAAGAGAGUUAAACAGUACGUGAAAUUGUUGAAAGGGAAACGCUUGGAGUCAGUCGCGUUUGCUGGGACUCAGCCUUGCUUUUGCUUGGUGCACUUCUCGGUAGAUGGGCCAACAUCAAUUUUGGGUGAUGGAUAAGGGCAGGAGGAAUGUGGCAUCUUCGGAUGUGUUAUAGCCUUCGGUCGUACACAUUGCUUGGGAUUGAGGACUGCAGCACGCCUUUUGGUCGGGGUUCGCCCACGCCACGUGCUUAGGAUGUUGGCGAAAUGGCUUUAAACGACCCGUCUUGAAACACGGACCAAGGAGUCUAACAUGCCUGCGAGUGUUUGGGUGCAAAACCCAUGCGCGUAAUGAAAGUGAAAAGUUGGGACUCUUUAGUGAGGCACCGACGCCCGAUCCUGAAGUUCUCUGACGGAUUUGAGGCA
This 737-nucleotide ribosomal RNA is filed under the name Oliveonia sp. VM-2020j. Its description in RNAcentral is "partial large subunit ribosomal RNA". It matches the Rfam family "Eukaryotic large subunit ribosomal RNA", at positions 72 to 797 of the family's 3401-position model. Lineage: Eukaryota; Fungi; Basidiomycota; Agaricomycetes; Cantharellales; Oliveoniaceae. The record is from RNAcentral.